GUGGGGAGGGGAGACUAUGCCAUCAGCGAAAGGAGGAUUGGCUGCAUCCAAAGCCAGUCCGGAUGCAAACUCACGGCCGGGCCUCGGUCGCGUGGAGUGCAAGGGGAUCGCGGCGUGGGUGGGAGUUGAAGGGGUUGAUGGGGUUGAGGGAGACGUGAGGUCUGGAGGGGGGGCACCUUCUGCAGUUGUCACCGCGUCAAUGCUGGGCAGCUGCCAGGCCACCCUUCCCCCGCUCCCCUUCCAGCAACUUCUUCCAACAGCCUCUUCCAACGGACCCCCUCACACUCCUCCCUAAAGCCUCGCCCAUCUAGCAGGGCACAAAGAAAUCUCAGUCUCCUUCCAUAAACUUUGUGCUUCCAGUUACCGCUCCCCUUCAGGAGCCCCCGCCCUCCGCCCUUCCAGUUUCUUGGCAGGAAGGUUAGGCCACUGGCAAAGUCCCCGGCAAAAGCCAGCUGAUCACAAACGCCAACUGUGUAUCUUGGGGCCCGUUAAGUCCUCUCAUCUGCCCAGGCUCUCAGGAGACCAUUUCAUUGCUGUCAGAGUUCCCGGGAGACUGCUGCGGAUACGAACCAUCCCCCACUGGGCCCACAAGGAUGGGGUGCUGAGCUGUACUCACAGAGCUUUUCGGCAUCUUGCUUGAGAGUUUCCAUUUGAAAUAGUGAAAUUCCCGAAUCGGGAGUCAGGCAGAUAUUUUCCUCACAUCCAAAAGGACGAUGGUUAGCUGGAUGAUUCGCUCUAGAUAGGAAAGGAACUUUGAGCUCUAACACGAAAUACUAACUUUGUGUGAAGUCUGUGGAAGUUCUGCAGUUCCACCCUGCCCCCAUGACCUUCCAUUCUCUUAGUUCUGCCACAGGGAAGCACCGUGGAGCUAAUAAAAGAUUUGUUAUUGUCAUAAUUUUUCAAUCAGGGAAUCAACAAAUUGACCAAGAAAGCUCCCAGGCCAAUCUUAUGAGAUAGCAAAUUACCUUCUUUAUUAUGAAAAAUAAAACUUUCUAAUGUGGUAUCAGAAGAACAUGGGACAGCUGUUCCACACAACCAUCAAAAGAUCAAAUCUUGCCAGCGCCCUGACUCCUGUUCCCCAGCACACUGUGACUCUGUAAAUCAACUUGAAGAUCUGGCACCCCCAUGUGGGUUUUGCCCAACAAAUAGCUUCUGUCUACUUGAUAUAUAACUGAUUUUUUAAUAUGAGCGAUAAUAAUAACAGUACUUGUCUUUGAGUAAUUACUACACCCCAAGCUCCGUUUUGAUUAGUUCUGACCUUAUGUUACAACCUCAUGGAAUGAAUGGACAAUGGACAAUUUUUCAGGCGGAUAGAAGAAUUGUAUUAUUUUAUUAAGUACCAACAAGAAAAGUUAAGUAUAUUUUGUUUUUACUCAGGGAUUACAGAAAUUAAUGCAUUUAUAAUCAUAUUAGCAUAGAAAUUAUUAUCUUUAAGAAGUUGCUUUUCUAAAAGCAUCAGGACUUUAUUUUUAGUAUAGAUAGCAUAGGAUAAGGACUGUGUUCCACAUACUGGGGAUAGGCAAUGCCUUCACUAAACAUCAUUGCUCUUACUUUCCCCUCUGCAGUUCAGAAUAUUCACCAUGGAUUUUCUUAUUUCCUGAUUAGGUGGGUAACAUGUCAAUGUGGCCUAUAAGACACCUGACCUGGAAAAGCUAAACACACCCAGGAGAAAGGACAAACACCGGAUCUUGACCUACACGUACCAAAUGGGGGCAGGUUGAGUUGUUCCCAUUAAGGAACAUAAAGGUGUGACUUUAUUUGAUCCAUGACAGGAAGCACACAGCUCUCUUCUUGACCAAAGUAUGUAUUGUGGCUAGACACUUACUCCACAUCUUCCUCUUCCUGGUCACAUAAGAAAAUUGCAGACCAUGUGCUCCUUUGAAGUUGGAUUGAGAAGACGUAACAAGAAAAUAACCUCCCAGACCCAACUCAUCACAAUACCACAAAAUCUUCUAUCCUUGCCUUCUCUUCUGUGACAAUUAUAUACAUCUGUCUCCUUCAUUUUAGAAAGAAGUAUUUAUUAAAGGGAUGGGUCCUUUGGGGUGGGAUACCUUUGA
Molecule: long non-coding RNA, 2057 nt
Organism: Microtus oregoni (creeping vole)
Lineage: Eukaryota; Metazoa; Chordata; Mammalia; Rodentia; Cricetidae
Exons: 3
Source: RefSeq, a predicted model, not a curated record